Aethina tumida (small hive beetle) is the source of this 537-nucleotide long non-coding RNA. RefSeq lists it as uncharacterized. The record is from RefSeq and is a predicted model, not a curated record. NCBI's taxonomy places the organism in Eukaryota, Metazoa, Arthropoda, Insecta, Coleoptera, Nitidulidae. The transcript is spliced from 3 exons.
GUUUUUUCGAAUUCUCAUAUUUUAGCAAAUGUCUACAGCAAACUACAAAGAAAUUAACAGUUAAACACAAAAUGUACUUUGAUUUUAAUCUUCGAUUGUUAAAUGGGUGCGACAACUGUUAAAUUGGAUUCCUGAUUGAAAACAAACUUAUUAUUGCAGUAGGCUGUGGAUGACCUAUUUAAACCAAUGAAUAUGGCAUUCUCAUUUGCAAAUUGUAAGUGUUGAGGUUCGCAAUAAAACUGGAUGCUGAAACUGAAAGUGUUCUUUAACUGUGGAAUGCUGAGGAUAUAUAUUUAUAGCUGCAAAUGUGUUACAUGCUACUGUCAACAUGAUAGAACAACACAUCAAGUAAAACAAUAUUUAAAACAUUUUACUACACAUUAAAAUAAAAAAUACUGCGCACUUGCCUACAGUAGUGAUCAUUAUUAUGGUAACUUUUUAAAAUUUUAAAUAUUAUGGUCAUAAUUAUUUUAUUAAAAAUAAACUAUUAAAAUAAUAUUGAUUUCUACUUUAUAAACUAAUAUUUUUUAUUCUCUA